AUUGAACGCUGGCGGCAGGCCUAACACAUGCAAGUCGAACGAGUGGCGGACGGGUGAGUAAUGUCUGGGAAACUGCCCGAUGGAGGGGGAUAACUACUGGAAACAGUAGCUAAUACCGCAUACCAUCGGAUGUGCCCAGAUGGGAUUAGCUAGUAGGUGGGGUAACGGCUCACCGAGGCGACGAUCCCUAGCUGGUCUGAGAGGAUGACCGGCCACACGGGGACUGAGACACUGUCCAGGCUCCGUCGGGAGGCAGGAGGGGGGAAGGUUGCACAAUGGGCGGAAGCCUGAUGCAUCCAUGCCGGGUGUAUGAAGAAGGCCUUCGGGUUGUAAAGUACUUUCAGCGAGGAGGCGUUACUCGCAGAAGAAGCACCGGCUAACUCCGUGCCAGCCGCCGCGUAAUAC
RNAcentral lists this ribosomal RNA (405 nucleotides) under uncultured bacterium. RNAcentral describes it as "partial 16S ribosomal RNA". It matches the Rfam family "Bacterial small subunit ribosomal RNA", at positions 29 to 526 of the family's 1533-position model. The record is from RNAcentral.